UUUCCUUUUCUGUCCCUCUUU
Molecule: non-coding RNA, 21 nt
Organism: Caenorhabditis elegans
Lineage: Eukaryota; Metazoa; Nematoda; Chromadorea; Rhabditida; Rhabditidae
Source: Ensembl